Molecule: long non-coding RNA, 1485 nt
Organism: Fundulus heteroclitus (mummichog)
Lineage: Eukaryota; Metazoa; Chordata; Actinopteri; Cyprinodontiformes; Fundulidae
Exons: 7
Source: RefSeq, a predicted model, not a curated record
GGGAUAAGCGUGCUUUUGCAGCUUCCUUUUGGACAGACUCUGCACCCUCCAGUCUCUACAGGUGCUGGGGGCUCAGAUCCAGUGUUCUACUGCAAGGCUGCAGGAUGUGCUGCUGAUGUGACGGUAGUGUUCUGUAAUGAUAAACUGGUUCAACAUGGCCUCCUCCCAGACUGCUCAGCACCGCUGCUGCUCCACACAGCGUGCCAACGUGAUGGUCGUGCUUUUGCUUCCAGCCCAGCAGGAACUGGCUGUCAAUUUGAGGGGGAUGGGGGAAACAUUCACGCAGAAGAAUGUACAGGCACUGACCCCAACUGCCUUUGGAUUUCUGUUUCUUCCCCAUCACCAACCACUUCCAACAAAGAGAAGAAAGCAGAGGGUAUCAGUCCAGGAUACAUUGCCUUAGCAGUCAUCUCCUGGCAGUAAGUAGGUAGCAUUGCCCUUGUUGCACUUGCUCUUUAUCUUUGGAAGAGACGUAGAGGACCAAACCAGCAGCCAAACAGGGAUGUUGAAGCUGCUGUUCCAGUGGAUGAUGAUGCCAUACCUCAACUAGGACAUGGACAUUAACUCAUUUCACCUCAUUUAUCAUAUUUAUCUCAUCUGCACUACCAGUCAAACAUUUACUCACCUCCUCAUUCAAUGGUUUGUCUUGUUUUAGGAAAAUAUUUUGGAAAAACUAAAAUAUUCAAGAUGCUAUGAGUUAUUUCACGAUUUAGUGUUUGAUACCUAUUCUAGAUACUUUUGAUGUCUUCAUCUUGUAUCUUCAGUGUCAAAAGUUAUAAAAAAAUAAGGAAAAACCACUGAAUGACAAAGGUGAGUCUGGACAUUUGACUGGAAGUGUACAUUUCCUCUUAACACGCUUUACAACUGUUGUGCCAUGAAAUUAAAGCCAUGAUGAAAUAAUUGAUGUCAGAGUGAAUUCUGACCAUGCAGCCGGAGGACAACUCACAAGGGGGUUGUGAGAAAGAGAGUUUCAGGCUGGGACGGCCUCUCUCGGCAGGGUGCCUCAGUCACCAUAUCAAAUAAACAGCAUCUUCAGGGCUGUGAUUAUUUUUGUUGUUGUUGCAAUUUGCUACUUAAAUAUUCGCUUACGGUGGCUCAGAGGUGUCACCACUAGUACAAACAAUUUAAUAUCAGACCAAGAUAACCCGACUAAUCAAACAUAAAAUUCACAUGAUUUAAUUCACUAAGAAAAAAAAAUCUGGUCCAGCUAGGGAAAAGUAAUAGCUCCCACUUAAAUCAUGAGUGACUGAUAAAAUUUCAGAAUGCUGAGUUCAAAUUGACUCGCCACCACUAGAGCAGAUUCCUGCCGAUCUUUAAUAGAACAUGUCUAACAACAUGAAGUCAGCUAAAAGAUCUAAAAAAAAAUAACAACAUGCCAAGGCCUGAUUUAAAAAGUUUCAAGAACUGAUGACACAAAGGUGGACAUCUAUUAGUCUGGAAAGGGUUUUAAAAGCUGUUUCUGUGGCUUUGGACUCCAGAGAACCA